UUGCUUCCAAGCCUUUUGGUGAGGAUUAAAUGUAGUACCUGAUCUUAUUAGUUAAUUUCAGAUAUAGUUCUGUAUUAGAG
This 80-nucleotide small nuclear RNA is filed under the name Cervus elaphus hippelaphus. The record is from RNAcentral. Lineage: Eukaryota; Metazoa; Chordata; Mammalia; Artiodactyla; Cervidae.